This 234-nucleotide ribosomal RNA is filed under the name uncultured bacterium. RNAcentral's name for it is "partial 16S ribosomal RNA". It matches the Rfam family "Bacterial small subunit ribosomal RNA", at positions 102 to 334 of the family's 1533-position model. The record is from RNAcentral.
CCACGGGUGAGUAACACGUAUCCAACCUGCCGUCUACUCUUGGACAGCCUUCUGAAAGGAAGAUUAAUACAAGAUGGCAUCAUGAGUUCACAUGUUCACAUGAUUAAAGGUAUUCCGGUAGACGAUGGGGAUGCGUUCCAUUAGAUAGUAGGCGGGGUAACGGCCCACCUAGUCUUCGAUGGAUAGGGGUUCUGAGAGGAAGGUCCCCCACAUUGGAACUGAGACACGGUCCAA